AACAAUCUGUGUAACUGACGGAAGUGGAAUUAACCACAUGAAGCACAGAUUUAUACAGCCGACCGUCUGGGCAACAAAA
This is a non-coding RNA of Megamonas hypermegale ART12/1, 79 nucleotides long. The record is from Rfam. Lineage: Bacteria; Bacillati; Bacillota; Negativicutes; Selenomonadales; Selenomonadaceae.